Molecule: ribosomal RNA, 468 nt
Filed under: uncultured bacterium
Lineage: Bacteria
Description: partial 16S ribosomal RNA
Rfam family: Bacterial small subunit ribosomal RNA
Source: RNAcentral
GACGAACGCUGGCGGCGUGCUUAACACAUGCAAGUCGAACGGAAAGGCCCUGCUUUUGUGGGGUGCUCGAGUGGCGAACGGGUGAGUAACACGUGAGUAACCUGCCCUUGACUUUGGGAUAACUUCAGGAAACUGGGGCUAAUACCGGAUAGGAGCUCCUGCUGCAUGGUGGUGGUUGGAAAGUUUCGGCGGUUGGGGAUGGACUCGCGGCUUAUCAGCUUGUUGGUGGGGUAGUGGCUUACCAAGGGUUUGACGGGUAGCCGGCCUGAGAGGGUGACCGGCCACCUGAGGACUGAGAUACGGCCCAGACUCCUACGGAAGGCAGCAGUGGGGAAUAUUGCACAAUGGGCGGAAGCCUGAUGCAGCAACGCCGCGUGCGGGAUGACGGCCUUCGGGUUGUAAACCGCUUUCGCCUGUGACGAAGCGUGAGUGACGGUAAUGGGUAAAGAAGCACCGGCUAACUACGUG